AACACAUGCAAGUCGAGCGGGGUGACGUAGCUUGCUACAUUACCUAGCGGCGGACGGGUGAGUAAUGCUUAGGAAUCUGCCUAUUAGUGGGGGACAACAUUCCGAAAGGAAUGCUAAUACCGCAUACGCCCUACGGGGGAAAGCAGGGGAUCUUCGGACCUUGCGCUAAUAGAUGAGCCUAAGUCAGAUUAGCUAGUUGGUGGGGUAAAGGCCUACCAAGGCGACGAUCUGUAGCGGGUCUGAGAGGAUGAUCCGCCACACUGGGACUGAGACACGGCCCAGACUCCUACGGGAGGCAGCAGUGGGGAAUAUUGGACAAUGGGCGAAAGCCUGAUCCAGCCAUGCCGCGUGUGUGAAGAAGGCCUUUUGGUUGUAAAGCACUUUAAGCGAGGAGGAGGCUACUUAGAUUAAUACUCUAGGAUAGUGGACGUUACUCGCAGAAUAAGCACCGGCUAACUCUGUGCCAGCAGCCGCGGUAAUACAGAGGGUGCGAGCGUUAAUCGGAUUUACUGGGCGUAAAGCGUGCGUAGGCGGCUUUUUAAGUCGGAUGUGAAAUCCCUGAGCUUAACUUAGGAAUUGCAUUCGAUACUGGGAAGCUAGAGUAUGGGAGAGGAUGGUAGAAUUCCAGGUGUAGCGGUGAAAUGCGUAGAGAUCUGGAGGAAUACCGAUGGCGAAGGCAGCCAUCUGGCCUAAUACUGACGCUGAGGUACGAAAGCAUGGGGAGCAAACAGGAUUAGAUACCCUGGUAGUCCAUGCCGUAAACGAUGUCUACUAGCCGUUGGGGCCUUUGAGGCUUUAGUGGCGCAGCUAACGCGAUAAGUAGACCGCCUGGGGAGUACGGUCGCAAGACUAAAACUCAAAUGAAUUGACGGGGGCCCGCACAAGCGGUGGAGCAUGUGGUUUAAUUCGAUGCAACGCGAAGAACCUUACCUGGUCUUGACAUAGUAAGAACUUUCCAGAGAUGGAUUGGUGCCUUCGGGAACUUACAUACAGGUGCUGCAUGGCUGUCGUCAGCUCGUGUCGUGAGAUGUUGGGUUAAGUCCCGCAACGAGCGCAACCCUUUUCCUUAUUUGCCAGCGGGUUAAGCCGGGAACUUUAAGGAUACUGCCAGUGACAAACUGGAGGAAGGCGGGGACGACGUCAAGUCAUCAUGGCCCUUACGACCAGGGCUACACACGUGCUACAAUGGUCGGUACAAAGGGUUGCUACCUA
Molecule: ribosomal RNA, 1212 nt
Filed under: Acinetobacter johnsonii
Lineage: Bacteria; Pseudomonadati; Pseudomonadota; Gammaproteobacteria; Moraxellales; Moraxellaceae
Description: bacterial SSU rRNA
Rfam family: Bacterial small subunit ribosomal RNA
Source: RNAcentral